Molecule: ribosomal RNA, 465 nt
Filed under: uncultured bacterium
Lineage: Bacteria
Description: bacterial SSU rRNA
Rfam family: Bacterial small subunit ribosomal RNA
Source: RNAcentral
GGAGGAAAGUAGGGGAUCGCAAGACCUUGCGCUUUUUGAGCGGCCGAUGCCUGAUUAGCUAGUUGGUAAGGUAAUGGCUUACCAAGGCAACGAUCAGUAGCUGGUCUGAGAGGACGACCAGCCACACUGGGACUGAGACACGGCCCAGACUCCUACGGGAGGCAGCAGUGGGGAAUUUUGGACAAUGGGCGAAAGCCUGAUCCAGCCAUGCCGCGUGAGUGAAGAAGGCCUUCGGGUUGUAAAGCUCUUUCGGUCGGGAGGAAAUAGUUGUGGCUAAUAUCCACAAUGAAUGACGGUACCGACAUAAGAAGCACCGGCUAACUACGUGCCAGCAGCCGCGGUAAUACGUAGGGUGCAAGCGUUAAUCGGAAUUAUUGGGCGUAAAGGGUGCGCAGGCGGUUGUAUAAGUCAGAUGUGAAAUCCCUGGGCUUAACCUAGGAAUUGCGUUUGAAACUACAAGGCUAG